CUAGCGCGGUGGUCCCACCUGACCCCAUGCCGAACUCAGAAGUGAAACGCCGUAGCGCCGAUGGUAGUGUGGGGUCUCCCCAUGUGAGAGUAGGGAACUGCCAGGC
Molecule: ribosomal RNA, 106 nt
Filed under: Klebsiella aerogenes
Lineage: Bacteria; Pseudomonadati; Pseudomonadota; Gammaproteobacteria; Enterobacterales; Enterobacteriaceae
Also listed under: 11 other names
Source: RNAcentral